RNAcentral lists this long non-coding RNA (753 nucleotides) under Vigna radiata. RNAcentral describes it as "long non-coding RNA (VRAD_LNC013686)". Lineage: Eukaryota; Viridiplantae; Streptophyta; Magnoliopsida; Fabales; Fabaceae. The record is from RNAcentral.
AUAAAAUCCAGAAUUAAAGUUUCUAAUUCUAUUUUCAGGCAUUCCUUAUCAUUAACAAUAUUUUCAAUUAUUUUCUCUAGAGCUCUCUUUUCAUUUUUCAUUAUGUUAACUUGAUACUGCAUUUUUAUAGCCUCACCGUGUAGCUCUUGAAAAGCAUCAAGCAAUUGAUAAUAUCUGUCCUCAAUAGACUCGUCAUCAAGGUUGCCUUCACUGUUGUCUGAACACACUAAACCAGCCAUUAAGCACAGAUUGGUCUCCUCUUUCAAGCUUUCAUCAGAGUCACUUGAGGAGCAGUUUGAGUCACUAUCCUCCCAGACUAUAUAGGCAUUCUUCUAUCUGCUCUUUCUGUUGUCUUCACUAGUCCUGUCAUCUAGCUUUUGCCUCAUCUUUACGACAUGACAUUCAAGUUUGAUAUGGCCUACUUUGCCACAUUCAUAGCAUGUUGGUGGUGCAUCAACUUUGCUUUUCUUCCUGUUUUCUCUAGAGUUGCCUGCAAAAUCAGAACUAGAUUUGUUUUUAGAUUUCAUGAAUCUUGAAAAUCUUUGUACCAUUAAGUUCAUUACAUCCAACUUUGGAUUUUUUUUAUUCUGAAUCAGCCUCCUCAAUGUGCCUUCUUGAACUUGUUGUUUUGAGGGCUAUUGUGUGCUUUUAUUCACUAUCUCCCUCCUCUCUCAAUCUGCUAAGCUCAAGCUCAUGUUCCCUCAAUUUUCCAAAUAAUGUUGCCAUGUUAAUAAAUGUCAAAUCUCUAGAUUC